CUACGGGAGGCUCCAGUGGGGAAUAUUGCACAAUGGGCGCAAGCCUGAUGCAGCCAUGCCGCGUGUAUGAAGAAGGCCUUCGGGUUGUAAAGUACUUUCAGCGGGGAGGAAGGGGGUAAAGUUAAUACCUUUGCUCAUUGACGUUACCCGCAGAAGAAGCACCGGCUAACUCCGUGCCAGCAGCCGCGGUAAUACGGAGGGUGCAAGCGUUAAUCGGAAUUACUGGGCGUAAAGCGCACGCAGGCGGUUUGUUAAGUCAGAUGUGUAAUCCCCGGGCUCAACCUGGGAACUGCAUCUGAUACUGGCAAGCUUGAGUCUCGUAGAGGGGGGUAGAAUUCCAGGUGUAGCGGUGAAAUGCGUAGAGAUCUGGAGGAAUACCGGUGGCGAAGGCGGCCCCCUGGACGAAGACUGACGCUCAGGUGCGAAAGCGUGGGGAGCAAACAGGAUUAGAUACCCCAGUAGUC
This 464-nucleotide ribosomal RNA is filed under the name uncultured bacterium. RNAcentral describes it as "partial 16S ribosomal RNA". It matches the Rfam family "Bacterial small subunit ribosomal RNA", at positions 339 to 795 of the family's 1533-position model. The record is from RNAcentral.